GCAGUCGAACGGUAGCACAGAGAGCUUGCUCUCGGGGGACGAGUGGCGGACGGGGGAGUAAUGUCUGGGAAACUGCCUGAUGGAGGGGGAUAACUACUGGAAACGGUAGCUAAUACCGCAUAACGUCGCAAGACCAAAGAGGGGGACCUUCGGGCCUCUUGCCAUCAGAUGUGCCCAGAUGGGAUUAGCUAGUAGGGGGGGUAACGGCUCACCUAGGCGACGAUCCCUAGCUGGUCUGAGAGGAUGACCAGCCACACUGGAACUGAGACACGGUCCAGACUCCUACGGGAGGCAGCAGUGGGGAAUAUUGCACAAUGGGCGCAAGCCUGAUGCAGCCAUGCCGCGUGUAUGAAGAAGGCCUUCGGGUUUUAAAGUACUUUCAGCGGGGAGGAAGGGGUUUUGGUUAAUAACCGCAGCAAUUGACGUUACCCGCAGAAGAAGCACCGGCUAACUCCGUGCCAGCAGCCGCGGUAAUACGGAGGGGGCAAGCGUUAAUCGGAAUUACUGGGCGUAAAGCGCACGCAGGCGGUCUGUCAAGUCGGAUGUGAAAUCCCCGGGCUCAACCUGGGAACUGCAUUCGAAACUGGCAGGCUAGAGUCUUUUAGAGGGGGGUAGAAUUCCAGGGGUAGCGGGGAAAUGCGUAGAGAUCUGGAGGAAUACCGGGGGCGAAGGCGGCCCCCUGGACAAAGACUGACGCUCAG
Molecule: ribosomal RNA, 701 nt
Filed under: uncultured Enterobacter sp.
Lineage: Bacteria; Pseudomonadati; Pseudomonadota; Gammaproteobacteria; Enterobacterales; Enterobacteriaceae
Description: bacterial SSU rRNA
Rfam family: Bacterial small subunit ribosomal RNA
Source: RNAcentral